RNAcentral lists this ribosomal RNA (439 nucleotides) under uncultured bacterium. Its description in RNAcentral is "partial 16S ribosomal RNA". It matches the Rfam family "Bacterial small subunit ribosomal RNA", at positions 339 to 795 of the family's 1533-position model. The record is from RNAcentral.
CUACGGGCCGCUCCAGUGAGGAAUAUUGCACAAUGGGGGGAACCCCGAUGCAGCAACGCCGCGUGGAGGAUGACGCAUUUCGGUGUGUAAACUCCUUUUAUAUGUCAAGAAAAUGACGGUAGCAUAUGAAUAAGCACCGGCUAACUCCGUGCCAGCAGCCGCGGUAAUACGGAGGGUGCAAGCGUUACUCGGAAUCACUGGGUGUAAAGGACGCGUAGGCGGGUUGGAAAGUCAGGUGUGAAAUCCUACAGCUUAACUGUAGAACUGCACUUGAAACUUCUAAUCUAGAGUAUGGGAGGGGGAGAUGGAAUUAGUGGUGUAGGGGUAAAAUCCGUAGAUAUCACUAGGAAUACCUAAAGCGAAGGCGAUCUCCUGGAACAUUACUGACGCUAAGGCGUGAAAGCGUGGGGAGCAAACAGGAUUAGAUACCCGCGUAGUC